RNAcentral lists this ribosomal RNA (400 nucleotides) under uncultured bacterium. RNAcentral describes it as "bacterial SSU rRNA". It matches the Rfam family "Bacterial small subunit ribosomal RNA", at positions 359 to 776 of the family's 1533-position model. The record is from RNAcentral.
GAAUCUUAGACAAUGGGGGAAACCCUGAUCUAGCCAUGCCGCGUGAGUGACGAAGGCCUUAGGGUCGUAAAGCUCUUUCGCCAGGGAAGAUAAUGACGGUACCUGGUAAAGAAGUCCCGGCUAACUCCGUGCCAGCAGCCGCGGUAAUACGGAGGGGACUAGCGUUGUUCGGAAUUACUGGGCGUAAAGCGCGCGUAGGCGGGCUGUUAAGUCAGAGGUGAAAUCCCAGGGCUCAACCCUGGAACUGCCUUUGAUACUGGCAGCCUUGAGUUCGAGAGAGGUGAGUGGAAUUCCGAGUGUAGAGGUGAAAUUCGUAGAUAUUCGGAGGAACACCAGUGGCGAAGGCGGCUCACUGGCUCGAUACUGACGCUGAGGUGCGAAAGCGUGGGGAGCAACCAGG